This 425-nucleotide ribosomal RNA is filed under the name uncultured bacterium. Its description in RNAcentral is "bacterial SSU rRNA". It matches the Rfam family "Bacterial small subunit ribosomal RNA", at positions 355 to 796 of the family's 1533-position model. The record is from RNAcentral.
UGGGGAAUAUUGCACAAUGGGGGAAACCCUGAUGCAGCGACGCCGCGUGCGGGAUGAAGGCCUUCGGGUUGUAAACCGCUUUCAGCAGGGGCGAAUCGAGACGGUACCUGCAGAAGAAGCGCCGGCUAACUACGUGCCAGCAGCCGCGGUAAUACGUAGGGCGCAAGCGUUGUCCGGAAUUAUUGGGCGUAAAGAGCUCGUAGGCGGCCUGUUGCGUCCGCUGUGAAAUCCCGGGGCUUAACCCCGGGCGUGCAGUGGAUACGGGCAGGCUGGAGGCAGGCAGGGGAGAACGGAAUUCCCGGUGUAGCGGUGAAAUGCGCAGAUAUCGGGAGGAACACCGGUGGCGAAGGCGGUUCUCUGGGCCUGUACUGACGCUGAGGAGCGAAAGCGUGGGGAGCGAACAGGAUUAGAUACCCCCGUAGUCC